UACUUGGGUGGCGACCGGCGCACGGGUGAGUAACACGUAUCCAACCUGCCGAUAACUCGGGGAUAGCCUUUCGAAAGAAAGAUUAAUACCCGAUGGUAUAAUCAGACCGCAUGGUCUUGUUAUUAAAGAAUUUCGGUUAUCGAUGGGGAUGCGUUCCAUUAGGCAGUUGGUGAGGUAACGGCUCACCAAACCUUCGAUGGAUAGGGGUUCUGAGAGGAAGGUCCCCCACAUUGGAACUGAGACACGGUCCAA
This 252-nucleotide ribosomal RNA is filed under the name uncultured bacterium. RNAcentral's name for it is "partial 16S ribosomal RNA". It matches the Rfam family "Bacterial small subunit ribosomal RNA", at positions 81 to 334 of the family's 1533-position model. The record is from RNAcentral.